Molecule: ribosomal RNA, 1796 nt
Filed under: Poduridae environmental sample
Lineage: Eukaryota; Metazoa; Arthropoda; Collembola; Poduromorpha; Poduridae
Description: SSU rRNA
Rfam family: Eukaryotic small subunit ribosomal RNA
Source: RNAcentral
CUGGUUGAUCCUGCCAGUAGUCAUAUGCUUGUCUCAAAGAUUAAGCCAUGCAUGUCUAAGUUCAAGCGAAAAUAAAGUGAAACCGCGAAUGGCUCAUUACAUCAGUUAUGGUUCCUUAGAUCGCACUUACUACUUGGAUAACUGUGGUAAUUCUAGAGCUAAUACAUGCACUGAGCUCCAACCCUCGUGGAAGGAGCGCUUUUAUUAGAUCAAAGCCAAUCGGGCCUUCGGGUCCGUACCGUUGGUGACUCUGAAUAACUUUGCUGAUCGCAUGGUCUCGUACCGGCGACGUAUCUUUCAAGUGUCUGCCUUAUCAACUGUCGAUGGUAGGUUAUGCGCCUACCAUGGUUGUAACGGGUAACGGGGAAUCAGGGUUCGAUUCCGGAGAGGGAGCCUGAGAAACGGCUACCACAUCCAAGGAAGGCAGCAGGCGCGCAAAUUACCCACUCCCGGCACGGGGAGGUAGUGACGAAAAAUAACGAUACGGAACUCACAUGAGGCUCCGUAAUCGGAAUGAGUACACUUUAAAUCCUUUAACGAGGAUCUAUUGGAGGGCAAGUCUGGUGCCAGCAGCCGCGGUAAUUCCAGCUCCAAUAGCGUAUAUUAAAGUUGUUGCGGUUAAAAAGCUCGUAGUUGGAUCUCGGUUUCGGGCGGGUGGUGCGCCUUGCGGUGUUUACUGUCUGCCCGGACGAUUUUGUUGGUUCGUUCGUGGUUCUCUUAACCGAGUGCCACGGGUGGCCAGCACGUUUACUUUGAAAAAAUUGGAGUGCUCAAAGCAGGCGCUACAGCCUGAACAUUAGUGCAUGGAAUAAUGGAAUAGGACCUCGGUUCUAUUUCGUUGGCUUUCGGAGUCGAGGUAAUGAUUAAUAGGAACAGACGGGGGCAUUCGUACUGCGACGUUAGAGGUGAAAUUCUUGGAUCGUCGCAAGACGAACUACUGCGAAAGCAUUUGCCAAGAAUGUUUUCAUUAAUCAAGAACGAAAGUUAGAGGUUCGAAGGCGAUCAGAUACCGCCCUAGUUCUAACCAUAAACGAUGCCGACCGGCGAUCCGCCGUCGUUAAUUGAAUGACUCGGCGGGCAGCCUCCGGGAAACCAGAGUGUUUGGGUUCCGGGGGAAGUAUGGUUGCAAAGCUGAAACUUAAAGGAAUUGACGGAAGGGCACCACCAGGAGUGGAGCCUGCGGCUUAAUUUGACUCAACACGGGAAAUCUCACCAGGCCCGGACACCGGAAGGAUUGACAGAUUGAGAGCUCUUUCUUGAUUCGGUGGGUGGUGGUGCAUGGCCGUUCUUAGUUGGUGGAGCGAUUUGUCUGGUUAAUUCCGAUAACGAACGAGACUCUGGCCUACUAACUAGAUGUAGGAUCCCUUUGUGGGUCCGUCACUGCUUCUUAGAGGGACGGGCGGCUUUUAGCCGCACGAGAAUGAGCAAUAACAGGUCUGUGAUGCCCUUAGAUGUUCUGGGCUGCACGCGCGCUACACUGAAGGAAUCAGCGUGUGUUCCCUACCCGAAAGGGUUGGGAAACCCGUUGAACCUCCUUCGUGAUGGGGAUUGGGGAUUGCAAUUAUUCCCCAUGAACGAGGAAUUCCCAGUAGGCGCGAGUCAUAAGCUUGCGUCGAUUACGUCCCUGCCCUUUGUACACACCGCCCGUCGCUACUACCGAUCGAGUGAUUUAGUGAGGACUUCGGACUGGUCUUCGUGGUGGCUCUCGAGUCAUGACGGAGUUCCGGAAAGAUGCCCAAACUUGAUCACUUAGAGGAAGUAAAAGUUGUAACAAGGUUUCCGUAGGUGAACCUGCG